CCUACGGGUGGCAGCAGUGAGGAAUAUUGGUCAAUGGGCGCGAGCCUGAACCAGCCAAGUCGCGUGAGGGAUGAAGGUUCUAUGGAUCGUAAACCUCUUUUAUAAGGGAAUAAAGUGUGGGACGUGUCCUAUUUUGCAUGUACUUUAUGAAUAAGGAUCGGCUAACUCCGUGCCAGCAGCCGCGGUAAUACGGAGGAUCCGAGCGUUAUCCGGAUUUAUUGGGUUUAAAGGGAGCGUAGAUGGGUUGUUAAGUCAGUUGUGAAAGUUUGCGGCUCAACCGUAAAAUUGCAAUUGAUACUGGCAGUCUUGAGUACAGUUGAGGUAGGCGGAAUUCGUGGUGUAGCGGUGAAAUGCUUAGAUAUCACGCAGAACCCCGAUUGCGAAGGCAGCCUGCCAAGCCAUGACUGACGCUGAUGCACGAAAGCGUGGGGAUCAAACAGGAUUAGAUACCCCAGUAGUC
This 460-nucleotide ribosomal RNA is filed under the name uncultured bacterium. RNAcentral's name for it is "partial 16S ribosomal RNA". It matches the Rfam family "Bacterial small subunit ribosomal RNA", at positions 338 to 795 of the family's 1533-position model. The record is from RNAcentral.